RNAcentral lists this long non-coding RNA (1731 nucleotides) under Homo sapiens (human). Its description in RNAcentral is "HSALNT0379890". Lineage: Eukaryota; Metazoa; Chordata; Mammalia; Primates; Hominidae. The record is from RNAcentral.
GUGACAUCACAGAACAGGCAGAGGCAGUUCAGGGGUAUUCUGGUUGCCUUACCCAGCUCUGAAGUCUGUCAGCCUCUUCAGAUGUCACUUGCCAUGUGGUAAGGAAGUGUAGUCAGCAGCUGGUGCAGUGGGAAGAAGAGAAAGGAAGUUCCCCAAGACAAAAACAUCUCGGCAGACCGUGAUCAUGGGCUACAUUCUCCGUACCAGCUUCAUAGCUCCAGUGAGAAAAUAAAUUCCUGCAUCCAGGAGAUGUGGAGUAAGAGAUACAGCUGCCCUUGACCAUAUUUCUUACUUCCGAGAAGAUCGUAGCAGUAAUUCAGAAUCUCAUCCAGGAUACCUCAUCACAGGCUGGAGUGCAGUGUCAUGAGCUUGGCUCACUACAGCCUCCAUCUUCUGUGCUUAAGGAUCCUUCCCUCUCAACCUCCAAGGUAGCUGAGACUACAGGCAACAUUCGAAACCCAGGUGCCACUCCUUCAGGAAGGUACCAUCAAGCUCCAAGGACUCAUCCUCUUUCUCCUUCCCCACUACCUAGUCAUUAGAGCGUCAGCAUCCACUUCCUGAAAGGAAGAUGCCUGUUUUUCACAUAUCCCAGAAAGCCUCAUUUUAGGACAGCAUUUAGCAGAGUGUAUUCAGGAUCCCACUAACCUUUUCGGAAGACAUGACUUCCAGAUGAUAUAAGGCAAGAAUAAGAAAUUUCAGUGACAGGGAACAGAAAUCAUAUUUCUGCAUUCAGGAUCAUGUUUUCUUGGCUCCAUCAGGAACUGUGCAGGACUGUGCACUCUGUUGAUACUCACAUGGUGGAAUUAUAUUGCCCUUGGCCAACCCUAAAGCCAUCAAGAUAGCAGCAACUACUCUAUCAUUACUGUACCACCACCUGUAUGGAUCUCGUUGCCCAUAUGAAACUGAGUAAGGAACAAUGUGCAUCACACUCACAGAGAAAGAUGGACAAGUUUGGAAUAAUUCACUGUCGAAGUCUUCUUGAGCUGAGCAGUCAUGUGAGCUUGGAAGAUGAUCCCUCUCCAGCUGAUCCUUCAGCUCAGGCCAUCAUCUACAUCUGGAUUCCUGACCCGGAGAAACUAUGAGUAAUGUGUGCUGCUUUUGAGCCACUAAGCUACAUGAAUUAAUGAAGGAUCAUUAUUAAGUUUUUAAUGGGUCAAGAGAAAGUUACCACUGAGGUCUUCUCUACCUGGGCAACAAUUGACUCCUAACAACCACUAUAAGCUUGGAAGAUGAUCCCUCCCCAGCUGAUCCUUCAGGUCUCUACUUUUUGUAGCCUGGGGAUUUUCUACUCCCCCAACAGCCAGAUGAGGCAGAAACCCCUACAGACAUCCCUAUGUGCCUCCUGUGCAAGUGCAGUUGCCCCUUGAAGGCAGUUCUCCUGCUGCAGACCACGCCCACCAAGGGCAGAGUCACAGCCACUGCAGCUGAGCUCAGAGCCUUCUGUGGGGUCUGCAGGGGCAAGGCCAGCUGUCCCCUGGGAUAGUUUGAAGAAUGCAGUUUGUUUGUAUAAUAAAGAUGUUUCUCUACGUCAUUCAUCUUGCUAAUCAAGGACGUUUAACAGCUUCAGACUUUCCUGGUAAUAUUUGUUCUUGCCUUUUUUUGGCAAAUAUAGUUAACACUUCUAUGCAUUUUUUACCUCACAUAAACAUCAUCUAAAACCAUUCAUAUUUCUGUAUUGCGUAUUAAUGCUUUUCAUUCCUGUAUAUAAAAAUGCAUUCAUAAUCGCUUUUC